RNAcentral lists this long non-coding RNA (6115 nucleotides) under Brassica napus (rape). RNAcentral describes it as "long non-coding RNA (BNAP_LNC006163)". The record is from RNAcentral. Lineage: Eukaryota; Viridiplantae; Streptophyta; Magnoliopsida; Brassicales; Brassicaceae.
AAAAAAAAAAAACAUAAAAAUGAAUAAUUACAUAGUUUUUCUGUUAGUUAUUGGUAUGUGUUCUUGGUCAAGUGAAGCUUGGAUAAAAGAAAACUGCCCUAUAAAUCGUAUAAUGAUUACUAACCAACUCGGUGGUGGUCAAGUAUUGGGAUACAAGUGCAGUAAUUGGCUAUAUCAAAAUUGGGAAGGCGGUUUAAGAACUUUUAAUCAAAACAGAACUUGGGAAUUCGCCGAUGUUACUAAUAGAAGAGAAAGAACAAGGUAUGAAUGUGAUUUAUGGUUUGGAGCUCGAAAAGAAUUUCAUUUUGAUGAGCUUGAAAUAUAUCGAGCUGCUGCAAAUACUAGAUGUAAUCAAAUACGUCAAUGGGCAGCUAGACCUGAUGGGAUUUGGUUCAGAAGAGAUCAUGACAAACCGUUAGGCCUUGUCCGCCCCUGGAAGAAAAGAUAGAUAUAAUUUCUUCUUUUCCAUUUCCUAAUAUUGAAAUAAUCAGUAAAGAUCUAAUAAUAAUGUGCUAUAUUGUAUAUAGAAAAAAUAUUAUAAUAAUAGUGUAUAAGUUUAAGUAAUACUUAUACAUGUUGUUGUUUCAAGGUUGUAAACAAUGACACAAUAUACUUAUUUUAUAAUAAUUCUUGUUUUGUAACAGAAAUGUCUACAUCUUUAUGUUUUUCUUUUUAGUAUGCAAAAGAAAACAUGUUUAGAACCUCUAUAAUAGAAAAUCUUCCAAGAAAUGCACUCAAAGGUUGGUGAAAAAGAUAAGCUUUGACCCAAAGAUGGAUCAAAGGAAAGGUGGAUCGAUGGUUCUUCAGUAUAAGGCUGCGGAAGGCCAAAUACUUGUUGGUUGGUCUUAGUCCGUGAGAGGCAGCCCCACUAGUGAACAAGACCGUGCUUACGGAGAUCACUCUCGUAGCAUUACGAUGUUCCAAAGAACAAAGGAUUCAACAAAUUUAAAAAGUAGAUUUUUAUUAAAAGGGUUGAAUGAAAUAAAACAAUACAAAGCAAGCCUUUAUAUAAUAGGCAAUCUGUAGAAUUAAAUAAUCUAGUCAAUCCUUGAAACUAUAAAGCUUUUAAAACUAUGAAGACUUGACUAGGAAUAUUGACUUGACCAAAGACCAAGACUGUUGACCAAAUUUGGGAAAUUGUGUUCGCAGAAUUUCUUGGCUGGUUGUAUCUUUUUGCAUGAUCGACGGUCUCUGAAUUGCCGUCAGAUUGAUAUAUUAUACGACAUUGGCUUGUUGCUGAACAAGGUCACAUCAUCCCCUCCUCCUUCAAAAGGCGGAAGGCCAAAUACUUGUUGGUUGGUCUUAGUCCGUGAGAGGCAGCCCCACUAGUGAACAAGACCGUGCUUACGGAGAUCACUCUCGUAGCAUUACGAUGUUCCAAAGAACAAAGGAUUCAACAAAUUUAAAAAGUAGAUUUUUAUUAAAAGGGUUGAAUGAAAUAAAACAAUACAAAGCAAGCCUUUAUAUAAUAGGCAAUCUGUAGAAUUAAAUAAUCUAGUCAAUCCUUGAAACUAUAAAGCUUUUAAAACUAUGAAGACUUGACUAGGAAUAUUGACUUGACCAAAGACCAAGACUGUUGACCAAAUUUGGGAAAUUGUGUUCGCAGAAUUUCUUGGCUGGUUGUAUCUUUUUGCAUGAUCGACGGUCUCUGAAUUGCCGUCAGAUUGAUAUAUUAUACGACAUUGGCUUGUUGCUGAACAAGGUCACAUCACUCUAGGUACCAACAAUGAAGUUUCGGGAUGUUUAAUCAACGUUAGGCAUCGCUAUUUGAAUCUUCAAUCCCAAUUCGAGAUACCAACUAUGGAGUUUCGAGUUGUUCAAUUGACGUGAACCAUCUCUGUGUAAAUCUUCAAUUCUGAUGUUUUGCCUUCCGUUAAAAUCAUGUUCAUAGUAUUCCUAAACUUCAUACCUUUAAUUAACGUGAUUCUGUUCUUGAAUAAGUGUUAUUAAAUUCAUGUUCAUAUGACUAUUAAACUAAUGUUCAUAGUGUUCUUAAACUCAUAUCUUAAUAAUUUUGUAAUUUGGUUGAGGUCAUGUUACGCUGGAGCAGGAAUCUGUUCUUUUCUAAUAUUAAGCCCUUCGAAGAGAAAGGUCUUGCUGAUGAGUGGGACAAAGUUGGGAUGUAUCUCUCAGGGUUCAAUAAGCUCGAUGAUGAUAAUUGAUUCUCUGGAAAUUUUAUUUGAGAUUAGGACAAAGGUAUAGUGAAGCUCGAGAUUGAGAUGAUUUGUUCUUUUAAUUUAUUUCUUGAAUAUACAGCUAUAUUCUUCCUUGAAGUAAUUAUGUUGUUUGUAUGUUUAUUUCAGAAAUGUCAAAAGGUUUAUGAAGAUCUUUACAAAGAGAUGACUCAGCUUCUGACUCGAGAUCAUUUUAGGUAAAUUUAGCUUUAGCCUUAAUAUAACUCAACUUUCUAAAAUGCAUACACUUAAGUUUUAAAGUGUGUGUUUGAUAUCUCCACAGGGAAAAGAGUAAUUGUCAACUAGAGUGAUACAAAAUCAGCCAGAAAUAUAAUGUAAACUCAGUUGAAGAAACUGAUAGAGGAAUAUGCUUUGUUUGAUGAGAAGCUUGCCUUCCCCAGUUUCCAGCCUUCUUGCUCGUGAACUUUGAUCAAUCAAAGGUAAACGUCCUGUAUCUUUCUUGAACAGAAAGGUCAAGUGAUCAAUCAAGAACAUCUCUCUGGUCACCAAUGAGAGCCAGGAUUUGUAGAAGAGCGUUAGAGAGAGAGAGAGAGAGAGAAGAGAGACUGAAGUAGCCGUGACUAUUAUCAUGAAGGGAAACAAAGUAAAAGUGACGGGGAAAGGGAUAAUGAUUGUGGUGCGUCGCGUCUAGAUAAUCAAAGUGGUCGGUAUAGACAGAGAAGAGAAGGGAGGAAGUCUCCAGAUUAUCAGGACAUCGUCAUGGACACUAGAAGUAGCCGAGCAGGGCCUGAUGGUGAUGUGAUCAAAUUUCAAAUCAGAGCGUUAACCUUCCAGUUCUGUGGUGCAAGAAGAGAAUGGGUAUGUACUUUUUUUUAUUUUUGUGUACUUGGAAACGUUUGGUGUGCUGUCUUUGUAAGUUGAUGUUUUUGACUCUAAUGUUGAUUUGCGCUUUUUAAGAAGCUUUAAAGUUGCUAUUGAUCAUAAGUUUGUUAUGGUGAAACAGGAACGUCUCAGGUCAGACUGCAAAAUGGGUCUCUUCCAGGGAGGCGGCUGAGCUGUCUGGAGGAUCGGACAGGGGUACAAGACAGAAAGCGUCUGAGAAAACUAUAAAGACGGAAGAUGGUGUUUUGGGCGAGUUUCAUGGUUCCACAAAAGCUUCUCGCCGGCCCAUGGUUGAAAGAUCUCCUUCUUCGACAAGUCUUGACCGGAUAUUCAAUUUAUAAUCAGAGUUAGUGCAAGAUGGAGCAGUGAGGUUGAAGAAACAGGCCUUAGGAACAACGCGAAAGAUUUUUCAGCACCUGAGGAUGAAAGGUUUCGGGUGGAUGACACAUCACAGGGAAAUAUAUCCUUUAACAAUAAAGCCUACCUGAGAAAGUGCCAUUGAAGAUAGGAAGGAGUUUGGUAGAUCUUCAAGCCUAUACUUCUGAGUUGUUGAUGCUGUUGGGAGCUGUAAUAAAAUUACGUUCUUCGGCUGGAUGACAUUGUUUCUGCAUAUUUUGAGUUGUGAAGUUCAGGUACUCUCUUUCACAAGUAUUUGCUGUGUUUUUGUACUUUAUACGUUGGGUUUUAAAUUUUAGUACAUAAAAGAAUACUAUGUUUGAUUUUGAUUUACCUCUUUUCACGUAAUCUAAUCCUAAAAAUUUAUAGACUUCAAGAAUAAGCAACAAAACUUAUAUGUAUUGUUUUGUUUGGUAUUGGAGUUGCCUUCAAGCCAAAUUUAGCUUGAAAAUAACGUGAUUAUUCGAAUUAUCUGUAUAUACAAUUGAUAGUUAAUAUUGUAUUUAUAUAUAUAUUACGUUUGUUAAAUAUAUACAUAUAAAAUAUAUAAAAAGAGAAUAUAUUUUGUUAAUUAAAUCCGGUUUAGCAUGAAAUAAAAUAAUAAGUUUUGUAGAAUAAACUACAAUAUUAGAUGCUAAGUCUACAAUAACAUUAACCUACACCCGCUAAUGAUCAACUUACACACGUAUAACUAUCUACACGAUUUCUCGCUAGCUGCAGUUUGGAGGUUCAUAACAUUCGAAAAAUGCAAAGUAUUUUCAUAACAACACCGAAGAUGGUAUAACACAUACAUUGCAGCCAAAUAUUAUUUAACUAAUGUUAUAUACUUUUUAAGUUAAAAGUUGCAUGCUACGGCAUCAAAAUAUGUUUUUAUGGUUUGUAUUUUCAGAGAGAUUCUUUCGAGAUUUAAUGGUUUUUCGUUUUUCUAAAAAAAACUAAAGUUGGAUAGAAACAAAAUAAAACAAGAACGAAUGACUGCUACAAUUAGAGUCGCAUCCAUACAUCAUUUCAUAGAGUUAGAAUAACCAAACUUCAAUGUAUCCUCACCGAAAUUGGUCGCAAUACCUUCUCCACCAGUAGUUUUCUGUGACAACGUCGGAGCUACAUUUCGCUGCGCUAAUCCAAUCUUUCAUUCGCGCAUGAAGCACAUAGCGAUAGACUACCACUUCGUUCGUGGUCAAGUUCAACGGGGAGCUUUGCGAGUUUCACAUAUUAAUAUCAGAGAUCAAUACACUGACGCCCUCACCACUUCACUCUCUCGAGCUAGGUUCUUGGAUCUUCGUGACAAGUUUGGAGUGAGACCUCUCCCUCUAUCUUGAGGGGGCGUGUUAAAGAUAUUAUAGAGAGAUACUCGGGAUUCCAAUCCCUUCUGUUAUGGCAACUUAGUUAAUACGUUAACCUAGAGACCUCCUCUCUAUUCUUGUAUAUAUAGGCAAUUUUCCUUGUACUGUUAAUAUAUGCAAAUACAUAUUCUCUACACUUUCUCCAGCUUUACAACCUCCUUCUUGUGUACCACCCUAGAAGGUUUGUUAUGACCUUUUCCUCUUUUAACAGAUGUAGCUGACUCUGAAACAGUCUUCUGAUUGAAACAGAGACUCAGGUGAAGUACAAUAUAUAGGUUAUGCUGCAGAGACGUACCCACCACACACGGCAAAUAAUAUAUCUUCCAAUUUACUCACAAAGUGAUAUGAUCUAUGCCAAAUGUUGUGUUUAAAUAUAAUCUUCAGUAAAGUAUAAAUCAAAAAUUUGGUAUAAAUCAUCAUAAAACAAUAGGAUUAUCCAUGAUAAAAUACUCAACGUGACAAUUUUUAUAAUUAUAAUUCAGUAAUAAGAAGAUCUUAAUUAUUAGUUUAUAAUAAUACAUUUCCUAACAUUUUAAAUUUUGUGGUUUUGUUUUUGUGGUAAUUUAUAAAUUAUAAUUGUUUCUUUAUUUAUUUUUUCUUUGUGGCUAACCAUAUUUUUUAUAUUAAGGUGAGUAAACCCUCUAGCACCAAUAAUUUUACUUGGUUUGUAUUUGAUUUAGUAAUUAGUUAACGCUAUUAAUUACAUAUCUAAAAAUAAAAGUAAAACAUACUUCACAUUUUUUUUAUAAAUACUUCAUGUUGAUAAUCUUAUUACUCCAACAAAAAAAAUCAUAAAAAUGAAUAAUUACAUAGUUUUUCUGUUUGUUAUUGCUAUGUGUUCUAGGUUAAGUGAAGCUUUGGUACCAGAAAAUUGCCCUAUAAAUCGUAUAAUGAUUACUAACCAACUCGGUGGUGGUAAAGUAUUGGGAUACAAGUGCAGUAAUUGGCUACGUCGUGAAUGGCAAGGCAGUUUAAGAACUUUUAAUGAAAAUAAAUCUUGGGAAUUCACUGAUGUUAUUAAAAUACGAAAAAGAUCAAGGUAUAAAUGUGAUUUAUGGUUUGGAGCUCGAAAAGAAUUUCAUUUUGAUGAGCUUCAAAUAUAUCGAGCUGCUUCUAGGCAUAGAUGUAAUCAAAUACGUCAAUGGGCAGCUAGACCUGAUGGGAUUUGGUUCAGAAAAGAUCAUGACAAACCGUUAGGCCAUGUCCUCCCCUGGAAGAAAAGAUAGAUAUAACUUUUUCUUUUCCAUUUCCUAAUAUUGAAAUAUCUGUAAAUAUCUAAUAAUAAUGUUUUGUGAAACAAGAGAAUAUAAUCUGUAUGUUUUUGUUAUUAUUCAUAAAAUAUAUGGAAUUGCACCGUCA